CUCUCAUCCGGUCUGACUCACUUCUGAAAAAUGAAUGUAUAAAACACAUCUUUCAUGUGUGUGUUUCUUGGUUGUUGUCCAAAAGUUGUGUUACGUAUCGUGCUAAAUGAUUAUUUCUGGUCAAAAGUGAAUGGAUUUAGAUGGAAAUAAACAACAGAUUAUGUGUGAAAAUGAAGUCAUUCCAGUUUAUGGGCAACAGUUGACCUACUUUAUGCAUUUGUCAGCCCAUCUCAUUCGUGAUUAAAAAAGAGAGAUUGUUUGAAGACACUGACCACAGAGCACAUCACGAGUGAGUCAGUUGCAAAACCAAAGAGUGAUUUAAAAACUUGACAAGGGAAACAGUCGACUGCAAAACACACAAAAACAUACAGAUGGGUAACACAAGACAAAAGUAAGAAAUUAUUUUAUUUGAGCGCUUGUCAAAAGUGAGCAAACAGAAAUGUACACAUU
Long non-coding RNA from Hippocampus zosterae (dwarf seahorse), 450 nucleotides. RefSeq lists it as uncharacterized. Lineage: Eukaryota; Metazoa; Chordata; Actinopteri; Syngnathiformes; Syngnathidae. The record is from RefSeq and is a predicted model, not a curated record. The transcript is spliced from 3 exons.